AUGCACUGGAAGAAAACGUUCCGCUUUCUGCAUCACACAUUAUCCUUUUUGUCCUACAACCGAGGGAGUACUCAUGCAAUCCAUGUUCAUCUUUGGAUCGAUUUUAUUAGGUCACUGUCUCGAGAGGUUUUAAAGGUGGUGGAUAUCAUGCAAACUUCUCCAGUCAAGAAGAGGAUGAAGUUCUCAGAGCUUCCUGGCGUCAUCGGAGGUGGCCUCGUCGAAGAUGACAGUCAGUUUCUUGCAGAUAAGGUGCUUUUCCUUUGUAAGGAUGUCGGCCUGCAUCGCUGCUGGCUUGCUGACGAUGUGCGUGCUCUGGUGGACGGAGCCUAG
This 330-nucleotide ribosomal RNA is filed under the name Triticum aestivum (bread wheat). RNAcentral describes it as "partial small subunit ribosomal RNA". The record is from RNAcentral. Lineage: Eukaryota; Viridiplantae; Streptophyta; Magnoliopsida; Poales; Poaceae.